CCUACGGGAGGCAGCAGUGGGGAAUAUUGGACAAUGGGCGAAAGCCUGAUCCAGCAACGCCGCGUGAGGGAUGACGGCCUUCGGGUUGUAAACCUCUUUCAGCAGGGACGAAGCGAGAGUGACGGUACCUGCAGAAGAAGGACCGGCCAACUACGUGCCAGCAGCCGCGGUAAUACGUAGGGUCCGAGCGUUGUCCGGAAUUAUUGGGCGUAAAGGGCUCGUAGGCGGUUUGUCGCGUCGGGAGUGAAAACUCAGGGCUCAACCCUGAGCGUGCUUCCGAUACGGGCAGACUAGAGGUAUGCAGGGGAGAACGGAAUUCCUGGUGUAGCGGUGGAAUGCGCAGAUAUCAGGAGGAACACCGGUGGUGAAGGCGGUUCUCUGGGCAUUACCUGACGCUGAGGAGCGAAAGCAUGGGGAGCGAACAGGAUUAGAUACCCUGGUAGCCCAUGCCGUAAACGUUGGGCGCUAGGUGUGGGGACCUUCCACGGUUUCCGUGCCGCNGCUACGCAUAGCGCCCGCCGUCGGGAGGUACGGCCGCGACGGACGUAAACCGUUAAACGUAAGAGUAGUACGGUAACGGUCGUAGAGAGUCGACGACGACGACGACGGAGGAGGAGG
This 618-nucleotide ribosomal RNA is filed under the name uncultured bacterium. RNAcentral describes it as "bacterial SSU rRNA". The stretch from base 1 to 520 matches the Rfam family "Bacterial small subunit ribosomal RNA", at positions 338 to 873 of the family's 1533-position model. The record is from RNAcentral.